CCCCCAAGGGGGGAACCUUGGCCAAAUUUAUACCGCCAAAAUCCCUCCCAGGGUUUUCCCAUCCCUUUGCCCCUUAAAAAAAAAGGGUCCCAUAGGGCCCCGAACCAAGAUCCACAAUGGUGUGGCAAGGUCGUUCCCUUAAAAUAUAGUUUAAGUCCCGAUCAGUCCUCCCUUGAUGUAAGUGCCCAUAAAGAUUUGGCCCCUUUAGGAAAUUCCCGGUUCCACCCUAAGGAAGGUUGGAUCCGUCAAAUCGUCAACCCGUAUACUGUCUUAACCGGGCUACAAUGGUCGAUACUGGCGGUGCCACCUUCGCGAGAGGGACAUAAUCCCGAUAGAUCCGUUCUCAUGUUCGCAUGUAGGCUGUAUUCGCGUGCAUGAACCGAAGUCAGCUAGUAAUCGCGGGUAGCAUGCCGUGGUGAAUACGUUUCGGGCCUUGAACACUACCGCCCGUCACGCGACGAGAGUUGAACACCCGAAGUCGGGAGGAACCUCCGGAGCACGCGACUACAGUCCAACUC
RNAcentral lists this ribosomal RNA (518 nucleotides) under Lysinibacillus sphaericus. RNAcentral describes it as "bacterial SSU rRNA". Lineage: Bacteria; Bacillati; Bacillota; Bacilli; Caryophanales; Bacillaceae. The record is from RNAcentral.